This 484-nucleotide ribosomal RNA is filed under the name uncultured bacterium. Its description in RNAcentral is "partial 16S ribosomal RNA". It matches the Rfam family "Bacterial small subunit ribosomal RNA", at positions 30 to 507 of the family's 1533-position model. The record is from RNAcentral.
AUUGAACGCUGGCGGCAGGCCUAACACAUGCAAGUCGAGCGGAUGAAGGGAGCUUGCUCCUGGUUUCAGCGUCGGACGGGUGAGUAAUGCCUAUGAAUCUGCCUGGUAGUGGUGGAUAACGUCCUGAAACGGGCGCUAAUACCGCCUACUUCCUGCUGCAGAUAGUUGGGGAUCUUCGGACCUCACCCUCUCAUAUGAGCCUAGGUCGGAUUAGCUAGUUGGUGGGGUAAAGGCCUACUAAGGCGGCGAUCCGUAACUGGUCUGAGAGGAUGAUCAGUCACACGAGAGCUGAGACACGGUCCAGACGACUAAGGGAGGCAGCAGUGGGGAAUAGUGGACAGUGGGCGAAAGCCUGAUACAACCAGGCCGAGUGUGUGAAGAAGGUGUUCGGAUUGUGAAGAAGUUUAAGUUGGGAGGAAGGGCAGUAAGUUAAUACCUAGCUGGUUUGACGUUACCAACAAAAUAAGCACCGGCUAACUUCGUG